CCUACGGGUGGCUGCAGUUGGGAAUAUUGGACAAUGGGGGAAACCCUGAUCCAGCGACGCCGCGUGAAUGAUGAAGGCCUUCGGGUCGUAAAGUUCUUUUAGUGGGGAAGAAGGGAAACUUGACUGUACCCACAGAAAAAGCACCGGCUAACUCUGUGCCAGCAGCCGCGGUAAUACAGAGGGUGCAAGCGUUGUUCGGAAUUAUUGGGCGUAAAGCGCGUGUAGGCGGCCAUCUAAGUCUGGUGUGAAAUCCCUCGGCUCAACUGAGGAAGUGCAUUGGAUACUGGAUGGCUAGAGGAUGAGAGAGGAGAGUGGAAUUCCCGGUGUAGGGGUGAAAUCCGUAGAUAUCGGGAGGAACACCAGAGGCGAAGGCGGCUCUCUGGCUCAUUUCUGACGCUGAGACGCGAAAGCGUGGGGAGCAAACAGGAUUAGAUACCCCAGUAGUC
This 446-nucleotide ribosomal RNA is filed under the name uncultured bacterium. Its description in RNAcentral is "partial 16S ribosomal RNA". It matches the Rfam family "Bacterial small subunit ribosomal RNA", at positions 338 to 795 of the family's 1533-position model. The record is from RNAcentral.